GCCCUUUCGGGUAACCUCUAACAAGCUAGAAAAGGUCUUCAUACUAAGCUAAAGCCAGAGCCAUUAUAGCCCUCAUGGUUGCACUGUUGUCCCGGGUGAUCACGUACAGAUAAAUCAUAAAGUGGCUAAAAAGUCAUUUUUAUCAUUUAUUACUUAACAUUAAUCUAGUCACAGGAUCAUGGUCACACAAAUAAAAUCCAAAUGCUAUACUUGCCUUAAUUCAAAUGCUCUUGUUGAUCCUGCUUGUCUUACUAGUUGCCAAGGCUCUGAUCUUGAUCACUGAAGCACUCUUGAUCACCACGAAUUGCCCACCGACUAAUUCCGAUCAUCGAUCACAAACACACAAACAAUCGGGGCCAAACAUACACGAAGCAAACAAUAGAACUAAAUUAGAACAAACACCAAACAAUAAAAAUGGUUUGAAAACUAAUCUACACAUUGCUACAAGCACCAAGACGUGAAAAGCACUCUAAUUAGAGCUAUGCCAAAAUAGAAACAACUACCGAAAGAUUUACUUUUGAAACUUAUUUAUUUUAAUUAUAUAAAAAUUAUAUAUAGAAAAUUCUAGAGAAAUAUCAUGUUAAGUCAAUUUGUAUUUUGAAAUAGAAAACCAAAAUAAACUAAUUAUAUCUUAUUUAUAAAUCCAAUUGCAUAAUUUUUUUUAUGUAGUUAUUAGGGAAUACCUUCGGGAUAUAUAUAUAUAAGAUGAAUUUUCUUGAAUUGAGGAAUAAAUGGAUAAUAGUAAUCUAUUAUGCAUGAAUGACAUGUACGUGACCUGGUCAGCAUCAUCUUUAAUCAAUAAAAUAAUACACAUCUUUAAUCAUGCCUGCAUGAAUUAAGCUGGUUACGUGUGUAAGCACUCCUAUUUAUUAUUUUUUUAUUGCAGGGACUCGGAUAUUGCACCAAAGUGAUGUUAGCAUGACAUCAGCACCUGAUUUAGUAAUAGAGUAAUAUGACAAGAACUAAUCUGGCCGCUAACCUUUCGUUAAUCAUGGUGCACUUUAGCGUAUGCUUCAUCAGCUAGCUCGCGUGGUCAGGACGAUCACAGCUGAGGUACUUCAUGCUAGCGAACACGGACGCGGUGGUUGGAUGUGUAGUAGAUGUAGAUGAAAACAAGAUAGCCUGCUAGCUUAUCCCUUCGUGACCGGCAAC
This 1152-nucleotide long non-coding RNA is filed under the name Sorghum bicolor (sorghum). RNAcentral describes it as "long non-coding RNA (SBIC_LNC010234)". Lineage: Eukaryota; Viridiplantae; Streptophyta; Magnoliopsida; Poales; Poaceae. The record is from RNAcentral.